GUCUCCCACAAAGUGAAGAAAUUAACUCAGAAAAUGAGCUCGAACACGCUUCCAUAACCCUCGUGAAUGCAAACUUUGAUAUUGAAUCACAGAAACGGAAGCGAAGAAUAAGAAGGCGGAGGCAAGGAGGAGGAGGAGGAGGAGGAGGAAGAAGGGCGAAGCGUGACAGAGAGUGUUUUUUCGCACUCUCGCAUAAACAUUUCACAGAUCAGAUCGAAAUCUUCCCAAUUAUUGUUUGGCAAUUGUCCAUCUCUGAGAUCCAAUUUUUCUUUUGCCGAGUGAACACUUGAAUUUGUGUUUAGUUGGGGGAGAUUAGGUCUUGCCAAAUCCAAUGGCGUGCAUAAAAGGGGUGAAUCGGUCGGCAUGUGUGGCUCUGGCACCGGACGCGCCUUACAUGGCGGCCGGAACCAUGGCGGGGGCGGUUGAUCUGUCAUUCAGCUCCUCUGCCAAUCUCGAAAUAUUUAAGCUUGAUUUCCAGUCGGAUGAUCAGGAACUGCCUUUGGUCGUCGACUUUCCCAGCUCCGAGCGGUUCAAUCGUCUGUCUUGGGGGAAGAACAGUCCUGCGUCUGAAGGUUUUGGUCUCGGCCUUAUUGCUGGUGGACUGGUCGAUGGGAACAUUGACAUCUGGAAUCCUCUUACUCUGAUCCGUUCGGAUGUGAAUGAAAAUGCUUCGGUUGCACACCUUGUAAGGCAUAAAGGACCUGUUCGAGGUCUUGAAUUUAAUUCUAUUGCACCAAUCUUCUUGCGUCUGGGGCUGAUGAUGGUGAAAUUUGCAUAUGGGAUUUGACCAAUCCUUUGGAGCCCACCCAUUUUCCGCCACUCAAGGGUAGUGGAUCUGCUAGCCAGGGGGAAAUUUCAUUCUUGUCGUGGAAUAGUAAAGUCCAGCACAUUUUAGCAUCUACAUCUUAUAAUGGGACUACUGUGGUUUGGGAUCUAAAGAAGCAAAAGCCAGUGAUAAGCUUUUCAGAUUCAGUUACAAGACGGUGCUCAGUUUUACAGUGGCAUCCUGAUAUUGCCACACAGCUCGUCGUUGCAUCAGAUGAAGAUGCUUCUCCUAUUUUGAGGCUUUGGGAUAUGAGGAACAUAAUGACACCGCUCUAAAGGAGUUUGUGGGA
Prosopis cineraria is the source of this 1115-nucleotide long non-coding RNA. RefSeq lists it as uncharacterized. The record is from RefSeq and is a predicted model, not a curated record. The transcript is spliced from 7 exons. NCBI's taxonomy places the organism in Eukaryota, Viridiplantae, Streptophyta, Magnoliopsida, Fabales, Fabaceae.